Molecule: transfer RNA, 90 nt
Filed under: Gammaproteobacteria bacterium
Lineage: Bacteria; Pseudomonadati; Pseudomonadota; Gammaproteobacteria
Also listed under: 1 other name
Description: tRNA-Ser
Rfam family: tRNA
About the family: Transfer RNA (tRNA) molecules are approximately 80 nucleotides in length.
Source: RNAcentral
GGAGAGAUGACAGAGCGGCCGAAUGUGCUUGAUUCGAAAUCAAGUGAACCCUCGCGGGUUCCGAGGGUUCAAAUCCCUCUCUCUCCGCCA